This 465-nucleotide ribosomal RNA is filed under the name Vreelandella stevensii. Its description in RNAcentral is "partial 16S ribosomal RNA". It matches the Rfam family "Bacterial small subunit ribosomal RNA", at positions 338 to 795 of the family's 1533-position model. The record is from RNAcentral. Lineage: Bacteria; Pseudomonadati; Pseudomonadota; Gammaproteobacteria; Oceanospirillales; Halomonadaceae.
CCUACGGGUGGCUGCAGUGGGGAAUAUUGGACAAUGGGGGGAACCCUGAUCCAGCCAUGCCGCGUGUGUGAAGAAGGCCCUCGGGUUGUAAAGCACUUUCAGUGAGGAAGAACGCCUGGUGGUUAAUACCCAUCAGGAAAGACAUCACUCACAGAAGAAGCACCGGCUCACUCCGUGCCAGCAGCCGCGGUAAUACGGAGGGUGCGAGCGUUAAUCGGAAUUACUGGGCGUAAAGCGCGCGUAGGUGGCUUGAUAAGCCGGUUGUGAAAGCCCCGGGCUCAACCUGGGAACGGCAUCCGGAACUGUCAAGCUAGAGUGCAGGAGAGGAAGGUAGAAUUCCCGGUGUAGCGGUGAAAUGCGUAGAGAUCGGGAGGAAUACCAGUGGCGAAGGCGGCCUUCUGGACUGACACUGACACUGAGGUGCGAAAGCGUGGGUAGCAAACAGGAUUAGAUACCCGAGUAGUC